This 132-nucleotide small RNA is filed under the name Marmota monax (woodchuck). Lineage: Eukaryota; Metazoa; Chordata; Mammalia; Rodentia; Sciuridae. The record is from RNAcentral.
GCUGGGCGUGGUGGAGAAUGCCUGUAAUCCCAGUGGCUUGGGAGGCUAAGGCAGGAGAAUUGCAAGCCCCACUUCCAUGAGCUGAGAAGCCUUUCUCCACCACACCCUUCUGCCAUAAUGUUCUGCCUUGCU